GCGGAAUAAAUUGCGCGGAGGGUUUUGGAGAGGACGGUCGGUGGGCAAAAGCCGGGGGUGCUGGGUGAAUAAGUGAUCCUUGGUACCAGGGUGGUAUGUCGGGGAGAGCUGCAGAGGCGCCGGCUGGGUGCCGAGUCUGAAGGUCGGAGGGUGGUGAGGUGCUAGGAUGUAACAGCAGAGGAGAGGAAUUGUGCCGAAGAGGAACGGCAGUCACUUUUGCACGAGCAGUACCAGCACACUUUCCUGCUCACCUUCCUCGCUCUCAACACAAUGGAGCACCCAUUUGAGACCUCCAUGAUUCUCUGAGCUUGGCAUGCUAGGUGGAGUCCAGCACUUGGGCACAUGGCUCCAGUGUUAUUCCCAGGAUGAAGACUUGGCCAUAAUGUUGAAUUCAUCAGGUCAUCUUUGGACUAAGGGUAUGGGUGGAUUGACAGACGCCAUGCAGCAAACCUUGACUUUCCUCUUCUUUGGUGAUUUGAUACUGGAGCAUUCAAGACUUCAGUAGUGUUGCUGAAUGGGAAGAUGCAACUUGUUGCUGUUUCUGGCUCCCAGGUAUAACACCAGCUUGGGAAGGAUAUGCAAUCAGUGGCCAAAAGAGGACUACUGCAACCAAUAAUGACACUAGUGGUGUGAAAGGGGGCCUUUAUGGAUGGAGAAGAGGGUAACCAGCACCAACCACUCUUUUUGCAGCUCUUCUCCUGACCUGGCAAUGUUUGCUUCUCCUGGGCAGACUUUUUAAAACAAGUGAAGGUCACAAACCUUCAGCUCAGACACCCCAUAGUGAUGAGUUUGUGCUUCUGUACAUACACACACACACACUCACACUCUCUCUCUCUAAAUAUGACACAGACUACUCCAGUCACUGGUCUUCUAUCUGAACUAAGUUCCUUGUGAGUAUUCACACUGAAAUUAACAGGACAAGCUUACUGCACCUAUUAAUUUCAGUGGGUAUACCAGUACUAAUUUUCUGAAGCCUGCCUGUCAGGCUGCGGGGAGGGAUAUGCUGAGCUUCAGCAUGUAGCCAGCCAAUCAAGAGCAGAAGAGGAGGGUCUUCAACCUCCUCCUUCCCCUUCUGCAGAAGACACAUUGCUGAGGCUACAGCAAAGGGAAGUAGGAAGGCUCUGAGUGCCCCCUGGGAGCCCUUCAAGUACGCUUAAGGCGGGGUACUAGUAACCCUUGUUGGGAACCCCUGCACCAGGGAGUGGAGAAGAGUGUGCCUUUAUUAGCACCUUAAAUAUUCUGCCUUCAGUAGUAAAUACUCUCUCCCCAGUUCCCUGGGUUUGGAUCUCAUUGGGCCAACAGCAUAUUUUGCUGCCUAGAGGUCUUGGAGAAUACAUCAUUUCUGACCAAACUCAUGCAGUGGAGAUGUUCGGCUAGGAUAGGACUAUGACUAACGGAGGUGCUGGAGCCCUCAAGAUGUAGUUAGCUAACAUUUUUUAUAGCUCAUUUGUAUCCAACCUUGGUUUAUGAUAGUAUCUAGUCUUUUGGCCAGGAAUAAGCAGAAGCCCUAGGAGUCUAAUGCAUACCACAUAUUUUGACUUGGUCUCAACAGAGCUGACUGUUCACUCUUCACUGAGACCAGCACUGUGGAUUUUCAAGUGGAUGGAGUCACUUCUGUAGGAGCAUCUAUGAUUUCCAAAGGCUUUCAUGGAUGACCACGAAAUCCACUGGUUUUGCAUUGUUUGCUGCCAGUUAAAUUUUCUCUUCCUCAGGGAAUAUACAAAUUUGGACUGUAAGCUCUCUGAACAAAGCUGCUUUGUUCUGUUCACUAUCACUGCAAAUAAAAUGUUAAAAGUGGUGGGAACUUGA
Hemicordylus capensis (graceful crag lizard) is the source of this 1809-nucleotide long non-coding RNA. RefSeq lists it as uncharacterized. NCBI's taxonomy places the organism in Eukaryota, Metazoa, Chordata, Lepidosauria, Squamata, Cordylidae. The record is from RefSeq and is a predicted model, not a curated record. The transcript has 5 exons.